GACGAACCUUGCUAACGUUAUUCGGAAUUACUGGGCUUAAAGCGCGUGUAGGCGGCUUUGCAAGUCGGGUGUGAAAGCCCUCAGCUCAACUGAGGAAGUGCGCCCGAAACUGCAGAGCUUGAGUGCCGGAGAGGGUGGCGGAAUUCCCCAAGUAGAGGUGAAAUUCGUAGAUAUGGGGAGGAACACCGGUGGCGAAGGCGGCGGCCUGGGUUGACACUGACGCUGAGGCGCGAAAGCGUGGGGAGCAAACAGG
This 253-nucleotide ribosomal RNA is filed under the name uncultured bacterium. Its description in RNAcentral is "partial 16S ribosomal RNA". It matches the Rfam family "Bacterial small subunit ribosomal RNA", at positions 524 to 776 of the family's 1533-position model. The record is from RNAcentral.